UACGUAGGGAGCGAGCGUUGUCCGGAUUUACUGGGCGUAAAGGGAGCGUAGGCGGACUUUUAAGUGAGAUGUGAAAUACCCGGGCUCAACUUGGGUGCUGCAUUUCAAACUGGAAGUCUAGAGUGCAGGAGAGGAGAAUGGAAUUCCGGGUGUAGUGGUGAAAUGCGUAGAGAUCCGGAGGAACACCAGUGGCGAAGGCGACACGCUGGGCCUGACCUGACGCUGAGAGGCGAAAGCAUGGGGAGCGAACGGGAUUAGAUACCCGGGUAGUCCCU
This 275-nucleotide ribosomal RNA is filed under the name uncultured prokaryote. RNAcentral's name for it is "partial 16S ribosomal RNA". It matches the Rfam family "Bacterial small subunit ribosomal RNA", at positions 524 to 798 of the family's 1533-position model. The record is from RNAcentral.